GACGAACGCUGGCGGCGUGCUUAACACAUGCAAGUCGAACGGAAAGGCCCUGCUUGCAGGGUACUCGAGUGGCGAACGGGUGAGUAACACGUGGGUGAUCUGCCCUGCUCUUCGGGAUAAGCCUGGUAAACUGGGUCUAAUACCGGCUAGGAGCCAUUUUUAGUGUGAUGGUUGGAAAGUUUUUUCGGUGCAGGAUGAGCUCGCGGCCUAUCAGCUUGUUGGUGGAGUAAUGGCCUACCAAGGCGGCGACGGGUAGCCGGCCUGCGAGGGUGGACGGCCACAUUGGGACUGAGAGACGGCCCAGACACCGACGGGAGGCAGCAGUGGGGAAGAUUGCACAAUGGGCGCAAGCCUGAUGCAGCGACGCCGCGGGGGGGAUGACGGCCUUCGGGUUGUAAACUCCUUUCGCAAGGGACGAAGCAUUUUGUGACGGUACCUAGAUAAGAAGCACCGGCUAACUACGUG
Molecule: ribosomal RNA, 465 nt
Filed under: uncultured bacterium
Lineage: Bacteria
Description: partial 16S ribosomal RNA
Rfam family: Bacterial small subunit ribosomal RNA
Source: RNAcentral